CCCUUAGAUGUUCUGGGCUGCACGCGCGCUACACUGAUGCGAUCAACAAGUUUUUCCUAUGUCGAUAGACACGGGUAAUCUUUUGAACUCGCAUCGUGAUGGGGAUAGAUUAUUGUAAUUAUUAAUCUUCAACGAGGAAUUCCUAGUAGGUGCAAAUCAUCAGUUUGCAUCGAUUACGUCCCUGCCCUUUGUACACACCGCCCGUCGCUGCUACCGAUUGGUUGAUCUGGUGAAUUAUUCGGACUGCCGGCUGAAGGGGUUUCCUCAUCUGCCAGCGGAAAGUCUUGUUAACCCUAUCAACUAGAGGAAGCAGAAGUCGUAACU
This 324-nucleotide ribosomal RNA is filed under the name uncultured eukaryote. Its description in RNAcentral is "partial 18S ribosomal RNA". It matches the Rfam family "Eukaryotic small subunit ribosomal RNA", at positions 1470 to 1796 of the family's 1831-position model. The record is from RNAcentral.